CAGCAGCCGCGGUAAUUCCAGCUCCAAUAGCGUAUAUUAAAGUUGUUGCAGUUAAAAAGCUCGUAGUUGAACCUUGGGCCUGGCUGGCCGGUCCGCCUCACCGCGUGUACUGGUCCGGCCGGGCCUUUCCUUCUGGGGAGCCGCAUGCCCUUCACUGGGCGUGUCGGGGAACCAGGACUUUUACUUUGAAAAAAUUAGAGUGUUCAAAGCAGGCCUUUGCUCGAAUACAUUAGCAUGGAAUAAUAGAAUAGGACGUGCGGUCCUAUUUUGUUGGUUUCUAGGACCGCCGUAAUGAUUAAUAGGGAUAGUCGGGGGCAUCCGUAUUCAAUUGUCAGAGGUGAAAUUCUUGGAUUUAUUGAAGACGAACUACUGCGAAAGCAUUUGCCAAGGAUGUUUUCAUUAAUCAGUGAACGAAAGUUAGGGGAUCGAAGACGAUCAGAUACCGUCGUAGUCUUAACCAUAAACUAUGCCGACUAGGGAUCGGUGGAUGUUUCUAUUUUGACUCCAUCGGCACCUUACGAGAAAUCAAAG
This 531-nucleotide ribosomal RNA is filed under the name Teratosphaeria zuluensis. RNAcentral's name for it is "SSU rRNA". It matches the Rfam family "Eukaryotic small subunit ribosomal RNA", at positions 568 to 1103 of the family's 1831-position model. Lineage: Eukaryota; Fungi; Ascomycota; Dothideomycetes; Mycosphaerellales; Teratosphaeriaceae. The record is from RNAcentral.